This 24-nucleotide microRNA is filed under the name Glycine max (soybean). Its description in RNAcentral is "gma-miR10407d (MIR10407D)". The record is from RNAcentral. Lineage: Eukaryota; Viridiplantae; Streptophyta; Magnoliopsida; Fabales; Fabaceae.
UUAACGGCCGGAUAUAUUUGUUGC